GCAUACACUAAUUUUCUGUUUAGGUUCUAAUUUCGAACCUUAAAUUAAUUAAUAAAUUUUUUUAAAAUAUUCUAAAUUCUCGGGUUGUCACAGAUUAUACCUCGACACUAAGUACUUAUUUGUCAGGGAAAAAGUUGAAGAUCAAAGCGUUAUCAUUAAGUAUAUUAGUAUGCAUUAUAUGUUAGCGGAUCCACUUACGAAAGGCUUACCACCCAAACUCUUUUUAGAGCAUGUUACGGGUAUGUGUUUAACUGAUAAUUUUAAUUAGUGUGUUAUUUUGAUGUAAGACAACAUUUUUGAGCUCGUUGUUUUGAACUUCACUUUAUGUUUAUGGUUUGUUAUUCUCUUUAUUGUGUACACUUGAGAACUUGUGAGCAAACAAUUAUAUUUUGGACCAUAUGAAUGAGUUUAAUCUAUUACCACCUAUGUAAACUAUAUUCAUACUUGUUAUGCUUAAUGUUAAUAUUUGUUCUAAUAAAAGUACUAAUUGUGUAACUACUGGGGAUCUUGUGUUAAUAGUGAUACAAAGAUUGUAUUAAUUCGUAUUGGUUUUUUUAUUUGAACAAGAUAUAAACAUUAAAUUAAUACUUGGCCAAAUUAAUGAUUGUAAGUGUUAUAUUUUGUAUAAAUAGUAUUUUGACCAAGUGGGAGAAUGUUGGAAUAUUUUAUUCCUUAUGUGGCCUAUGCUAUUUAUGUAAUUAUUGGGCUUACAUAUUGUAUUAAUUUAAUCACUUUAUUUACGGGUUUGAUAAUUAAUUAUGUGACCUAUAUAUAAAUAAUAUUACUGAUAGUACUUGGCAUAAUAGGCCCUAGGGUUUCAUAAUCUUGAUGGACAAUUUUGACCUUUAAGUUAUUCUAUAAAUAAAACAAUUAGGUUUUGAUCUCAAUUGUUGUCUCAAGAAUUUUAUACACACCUAUACAUCCAUCCUAAGAUUAAGAGAGACAAUUA
Molecule: long non-coding RNA, 949 nt
Filed under: Panax ginseng (ginseng)
Lineage: Eukaryota; Viridiplantae; Streptophyta; Magnoliopsida; Apiales; Araliaceae
Description: long non-coding RNA (PGIN_LNC014229)
Source: RNAcentral